AUGAACAGCGGCGACGCCGCCGGGUCCAGCUCCGGCGGAUCCGGGGACGCGGGCGCGCCCAGGAGGGCCUCCAGGAAGCCCAAGUAUUCCAAGUUUACGCAGCAGGAGCUCCCAGCUUGCAAGCCAAUCCUUACUCCAAAAUGGGUCAUUUCGGUGUUUCUUCUUGUCGGUGUCAUUUUUGUCCCGAUAGGUGUUGCUUCGUUGCUAGCUUCAAAUAAGGUCGUUGAGAUUGUUGAUCGAUACGAUGAUGCGUGCGUCCCGUCUAAUGUUACUGACAAGCUUGCCUACAUCCAGAACUCAACGAUAUCUAAAACCUGCCAAAGGACACUCAAGGUCCCGAAGGAUAUGAAGCAGCCAAUUUUUGUGUAUUAUCAGUUGAAUAACUUCUACCAGAAUCAUAGGAGAUAUGUUAAGAGCCGGAAUGACCAACAGCUAAGAGAUGCUAGUAAGGCAAACGAGACCACGCUUUGUGACCCUGAGAAGACCAGAGAUGGAAUGGCUAUUGUUCCAUGUGGUCUGAUUGCAUGGAGCACAUUCAAUGAUACAUAUACCUUCCAACACAACACUAACAACAUAUCAAUCGACAAGACAGACAUCUCUUGGAAGAGUGACAGGGACCACAAAUUUGGAAGUGAUGUCUUCCCAAAAAACUUCCAGAAAGGUCCUCUUAUAGGUGGAAAAACACUCAACGAAUCUAUACCGCUGAGUGAGCAAGAGGACCUUAUUGUUUGGAUGCGAACUGCCGCGCUUCCUACAUUCAGAAAACUGUAUGGUAGGAUACGUGUUGACCUCAAAGAAAAUGACACCAUUACUGUUACGCUGGACAACAAUUACAACACAUAUAGCUUUGAUGGCAAAAAGAGUUUGGUGCUUUCUACUUCAACUUGGCUUGGUGGAAAGAAUGAUUUUCUUGGUCUUGCAUAUCUCACUGUUGGUGGACUCUGCUUCUUCCUGGCAUUUGCAUUCACCUUACUCUACUUGAUAAAACCAAGAAAAUUGGGAGAUAACAACUACUUGUCAUGGAACAGAAACUCUGCAGGCCACUGA
RNAcentral lists this ribosomal RNA (1047 nucleotides) under Triticum aestivum (bread wheat). Its description in RNAcentral is "partial small subunit ribosomal RNA". Lineage: Eukaryota; Viridiplantae; Streptophyta; Magnoliopsida; Poales; Poaceae. The record is from RNAcentral.